RNAcentral lists this ribosomal RNA (253 nucleotides) under uncultured bacterium. RNAcentral's name for it is "partial 16S ribosomal RNA". It matches the Rfam family "Bacterial small subunit ribosomal RNA", at positions 524 to 776 of the family's 1533-position model. The record is from RNAcentral.
UACGGGGGGUGCUAGCGUUGUUCGGAAUUACUGGGCGUAAAGCGCACGUAGGCGGAUUUGUAAGUCAGGGGUGAAAUCCCGGAGCUCAACUCCGGAACUGCCUUUGAUACUGCAAGUCUCGAGUCCGGAAGAGGUGAGUGGAACUCCUAGUGUAGAGGUGAAAUUCGUAGAUAUUAGGAAGAACACCAGUGGCGAAGGCGGCUCACUGGUCCGGUACUGACGCUGAGGUGCGAAAGCGUGGGGAGCAAACAGG